Eriocheir sinensis (Chinese mitten crab) is the source of this 3032-nucleotide long non-coding RNA. RefSeq lists it as uncharacterized. NCBI's taxonomy places the organism in Eukaryota, Metazoa, Arthropoda, Malacostraca, Decapoda, Varunidae. The transcript is spliced from 3 exons. The record is from RefSeq and is a predicted model, not a curated record.
UCAAAGAGACUGCAGUGUCCAUAGUCGAUCAACACGUCAUUCCAUCGAUUGCUGGACGUAGCAAAGAAAGUGUAUUCUCCCCCAAGUGCCCCAGUAAUUCAUAAAUGAUUUUUCAGUAAAAGAACGAUUAAAAUUUCCUUAACUAAAACACGAAACCGCUAAAUCUGAAAGUUGAUUUAUUCGUUUAAUUAAUAUCAUAUUAAAGCUACCGAAAGAGGAGGGGAGGAGCAUCAACCACAAGAAUGUAUACAUCUACUGCAUCCUGCCGCUCUAAGCAUACAUAACACAAAUUCGGCGCCUCACAUAAUAUCUAGGAAGAAAUCUAAAGAGCGUACAUGAUGGAUUCCGGAAGGAGAUAGGUAAAAACUGGUUCACGAAUAGGGUAGUGAAUGGGUGGAACGAAUCAAAAAGAUAUUUAGGUGACGUAAAUGCGAUUGAAAGUUCUGAAUGGAGGUUAAGCAGAUUUACACGUGAAGGGAGAUUGGUGAACAGUUCGUCCUCAGAGGCUACGAGUAGACGGUCUUGCCUAUUGUAAACUAUUAUUGCCUAUCUCCUUUUAGCUUGAUGUGUAGCUGAUGGAGAAAAAAACGCUGACUAAAACAUGAAUGUAUGAAGUGAGCAUUAGGAUCAGGGAGCAGACAAAUGUUAAUAAUUCAAGACUAAGAAAUGAAGAUGCACAGGACAGAGCAUGCGUAGAACUAACAACAGAUCGACAACCAAAGUAACAGAAUGGGAGCCCAGCAGAGUGUAGGAGUCAGGGCAAAGAACCAGGCGGAGAGCUGAAAUUAGGGUAAGCUUAUUUGGUGGCGUUAGGACGUUAUAUUAACAUUAUUUGCUUGGGUUAUAUUACUUUUUACCUGGUGGGGUUAUGCUACUUCAUUCAGUGAGGUUAGUGACCCUAUUUGGGCUUAAGUUACAGCGGAAAGGCCUAAUGCAAUAAUUAUCUUUUUCAUCAUUGUUCUACUAAAAGUCGCGGCAAUGUGUAAUUCUUGUAAUCACUAAUCAGUAUAUGUGAGGUAGAUAACAGGCAAGUUUUUCCUAGUUUACUCCAAUGCGUAAUAUGGGUUAAAGAGUGUGUGACUUGUGCAUGGGCAUAUCCUGUUGAAAGAGUGCCGGCCUGCCGGAUACGGGCGCUGCCGUUGAAACUUCCGAAAGCUUAUAGGAAGCAAACGGAACUGCGCAGUAACACGUCACGUGAUAUAUCAUGAGAGAAGAUAAACGGGAAAUUCCUGAGUGACGUCUCCAAGCUGAGGCUAUAUAAGUCCCUAUGACGCUUAUCAGGAUCACACUGCAACGCAAGGAGCCCAAAACACCUGACCUAGCUGGCGCCGAGGCUUGGUGAAAAUAUUAAGCAGCAGCACACAGUACCUCAUCAAGAUGGGUGACGACGGCGGUGGCGGAGGAGGCGAUAGCGGCGGUGGUGGUGGUGGUGGAGGAGGUCAUAGCGGCGGUGGUGGUGAUGGAGGAGGUCAUAGCGGAUGGGGCGGUGGUGGUGGAGGUCAUAGCGGAUGGGGCGGUGGUGGUGGAGGUCAUAGCGGAUGGGGCGGUGGUGGUGGAGGUCAUAGCGGAUGGGGCGGUGGUGGAGGAGGUCAUAGCGAAUGGGGCGGUGGUGGAGGAGGUCAUAGCGGAGGUGGUAGUGGUGGUGGUGGUGGUCAUAGCGGCGGGGGCUCUAGUGGUGGUGGAGGUCAUAGUGGUGGUGGUAGUGGUGGUGGUCAUAGCGGUGGGGGCUCUAGUGGUGGUGGAGGUCAUAGCGGCGGUGGUGGUGGUGGUGGAGGUGAUGGCGGCGGGGGCGGUGGUGAUGGUGGAGGAGGUGAUGGCGGCGGGGGCGGUGGUGAUUGUGGAGGAGGUGAUGGCAGCGGGGGCGGUAGUGAUGGUGGAGGGGACUCUAGUGGUGGAGGGGACUGGGAUAACGAUGGACAAUAUAGCAGCGGAGGAUACGGAGGUCGGAGGAAAAAGAAGCAUCAACAGCACCAAGCAAGCCGCUCCAAAUACCUUCGGCGCCCAAAGAAAAGUCCCUGCUGUGUAGUAUGCUGAGUAAUGAGUGCUAACUGAAUCGGCCGGGUACCUUGGUGCUGUGAUGGCUUUGAGAGCCGCCUGCAAGUAAAGCCUCGUUCACACUGUGCCGACUCUGGGCCACGACAACCCAGCGACUUUUCCAUUUGACAAGUUGGUUCCCACGCUCCAAGAAGGGGGGAAAGGUUUUAUGGAGGUCUUGGUGUCUUGCCGACUGUCUGGGACAUUCGACCAACUAGUUGCCAGCAUGUCGUGGUAACCCUCACGACUCCAGACUCCCGUCACGACGUCGGCGCAGCAUUCGGCAACAGUCUCUUUGAAGACAUACCCGACCCUUUCACAUCAACACCCAAGACCUCGUGGGUCGUGGAUAGUCGUGGCCCAGAGUCGGCACAGUGUGAAUGGCGCUUAAGAGGGACUCGUGCCGGUAACCUCUAGCUAUAGCACUGGUGGCACUGCAGUCUAUACCUUAUACCAGUCAGCUACUCCCCCAGGGCCAAGAGCAGACCAAAUUCAUCUCCAGUAAACCCUCAGUACUCCUUCAGAGGGGCAAGUGGAAACAAAGCUAAGAAAAUUCCACGACCCAUGGCACCAAUUAAGUCGUCUCCGAUGGAGGGGAGGGGAGGGAGGAGUAAGGAUUGUUUUUCAAUGAUGUUGCAAGAGGAACUUCGAAGCUCAUAUCUAUUGAGUUCAUUGGUUUGUGUAGAGACAAUACUAUAUAAUUUUAUGAUGUGGGUAAUCUCUGACACUUUUGUUCCUCAUAAAGAAAACAUUAUAUAUAGUUGCAGGCCUCGACAGUCGGUUUCUGCCAUGACCCUGGUGAAAGCAAACUUUUCCCACAUGUCAGGGGUGAACAGUGCCUUGUCUAAACCAGGGAACAAAGAUGCUUACUAUUUUCAUUGGACAGAAGAUCGUGACACUAUUCUGAGUGUUUACUGAAAGUUGGUGACAUUGCACGGUUACUGAGAUGGCUGACCUAUGUAUGGUUGUGAAUAUUGUGAGUAAAUUGUAUAAAUGCA